AGACUUAGAACCAUUCAAAUAGGGAUG
This 27-nucleotide non-coding RNA is filed under the name Cricetulus griseus (Chinese hamster). Lineage: Eukaryota; Metazoa; Chordata; Mammalia; Rodentia; Cricetidae. The record is from RNAcentral.